AGAAACCAGAGUUGGUAAUGAAGGAAGAAAAGAGGGAGCUGAAAACCUUUACGAAAGUUUCUCUCAACUUUCUUCAAGCUAUAACCAAAAGAGAUAUGUGACCUUUUCCCUUGUCAGUCUUCCCAUUUCAGAUCCUUAUAUUAUUAUAUUGUCUAGUAGUUAUUUUUGCUUAUACUUAUCAUCAGCCAAGCCAUCUUUUCUUUGAAACACACACACACACAGAGACUUUGACUCAAGGGAGACAGUUGAGUUGUUAUUAUCUGUUUCAGUCAGAGUACAUAGUACAGUACAUCUGUUACAAAGGGUGAGAAAGGUGAUGUAGAAAGAAUAAGCUUGAAAUGAAUGGACUGAUAAUGGGGGAUGUAAGAUAACAAGAUGCCACAAUGCCAACACUGAAGAAAUCAAAUGUUCUCCCACAUAAUGGAAGUGCAGACUCCAUUCAUCAAGUGUGCGCCAUCUAAAGAAGCUUGAAGUACAAUUUCCUUGGAUGCAUAAAAAACCAUUUUCUCAAUGAAUGUGUCAGCUGUUGAUAGAAAUAUGAGUGAGUGAUAUUGAUUUGAGAGGCACUGACUUAAUUUGAAUCAAAAUUGCACAGUUCACUGCUGCAGGCUACAUUAGUGCAGCAUGGCCUAUUAUUAUAGAUUCCCCUAUGUAUAAAUAAAAUAUACUUCUCGAUUUAGUCCCAAAUGCUGAAGGUUUGUUGACAUCUGGUAGUUUUCAGAUCUCAAAUUUAAGUGGCAAAUCUGUGCAUAUCCUUGAGCCCCUGUGUUUUUUGUACUUAAAAGUAGCUGGUGUGUGUGUGCAGUAGCAGCUGUAAGUCCACUCUAUAACAGGAAUAGGGAACCUAUAGUUUUCCAAAUGCCAAACUGAAACACAGCUACACUUCAAAAUUCACACUUCUCCAAAUGUCAUUCUUCCAAAUGAUGGGAACAAAAUUGUGUAUAUUAGAAGUAAGUGUGCAUAAAAAACACAUGCACUAAUGAAAUUAACAUGCCACAAAUUCAUUAUAUUCUGGGGAAAACCCAUGAGAUAAGGGAAACACCAUAAAAUAUGUCACGAGUAUCAAAAAUGUACACUAAAAUGCUGGCAAAUUCUCACGACGGCUUUUUUUAAUUAAAAAAUUGCAGACUGAUGCAGAAAUGUGGAGAACUGGAAACUGGAAAAAUGAGAAGCUGAGCGAAAGUGAAAUGGAUAGAUUAACCCAUCCCUACCAUAAGCCCCUCUUCCACAGUCUGCCUGGUUUAAAUAUGCUAUUGCUGUCUCCUCCUUUUUUAGAUAGUGCCCUUUCAAUAAACUACGUCAAAGUUUGGAUCCAAGCUAAAGAUAUAUACACAUUUGAAUGAUACUGCAGUACAAGUCAAAGUGCAAGCAGAUAAAGAGGUACUGCUCCAGCAGGAAGGUAAACAGUGUUUCAAUGCGCUGCUCUGGUUUCGCCAGAAGCAGCUUAGUCAUGCUGGCCACAUGACCCGGAAAAACUGUCUGCGGACAAACGCCGGCUCCUUUGACCUAUAGAGUGAGAUGAGCGCACAACCCCAGAGUCAUUUGCGACUGGACCUAACGGUCAGGGGUCCCUUUACCUUUACCUUUUACAGUGCAAUUGUAAUGACCAUCCAUUUAGAGAAGGAAAAGAUAGAUUGGGCUGCAAGGAAGUGUUUGGAGUUUCUUAGCUGUGCACAACCUUGACAAUUGCUGUGCCUAUAAGGGGGUGCUCCAGUCAUGAUGCCUUAUUGAAUAAUGGCACUCUAUAUUUGGUUUCUGACAGGUGUGUGUGUGUGCAUGAAGGUGGGAGAGGAGUCUGCAACAUAAUGAAAACAAUAUUUUAUGGGAGUCUUUGCUUUUCUCCUCCAGCCUGAAGCUUGUCUUUAGCAGAGUCUUUGGCAAAACAGAUGGAUGCCCAGAACUGGUGCCAAAGCAUUUAUUAUGUAGCGAGAAACAAGCUCUCCUGCUGACUGCUCUCUUCUGCCGAGAAAUGUUGACCGUACGUGCUGAACACCGGGUGACAGGAACAGACUAUUUCAUGGCUGGGAAGGAAAUAUCAAUCUGGACUUGAGUGGAACAAAGUGGGAAGGCAGUGAUUGGAAAAGCUCAGUGGCUGGAAAAGUUGAAAGGGACAGACAGGGGGAAAUAAUACUAAUAAUCGGAAUACAAGAAGCCAGAAAGGCAAAAGAAAUGAGUGCCCAUUCUACAUUCUGCCAAAUAUCCAGGCUUCCACCCAAUGCAUGCAGGCAGGGGCUCUUACUUGGAAGAGAUCCAUAUUCAUUCAAGUAAUUGGUAAAGGUUCAGCAACAGACUGAUGACCCAGGAGUUGUGAUUCAGGAGUAGGGCAAGAAGUUCAGAACUGGAUGAACCCUCUUGUUCAGUGGAUGCUGCCCCCUGCUUCCUGGAGGAAGGCCUUUGCCAUCCUCUGCUGGGAAGGUCCAAAGGCAGGUCAUUGGAGAGAACCGUUAUCCAUUCUUCCCCCUCCAAAACAAUUAAAGCCUCCCUCUCUUCCAACUCAGGUUUCCACAGUUCAGCCACCACCUUCUUCCUCCUCCCUCUGCUAGAACUUGCUAACUCAAGCUUGAUCCUGACAGUACUGCGGGGCUCAUGGCAACCUGUAAGUGUGACAUCCUACAAGGCUAUUCAGACAAUUAUAGGAAGCAAGGAAGAGGAAAUGACAUGGGUAAGUAUAGGGAUGUUGUUAAGUGCCUCCUCCAUUUUUUUUCAGUGCAGUUGCAGGAUUUGUGCCUCUUGAAGCUGUAAGAGAUCUUCCCCCCAAAACCAAACAUGCAGGAAACCACAAACAAAACCUUUUGGAAUUUAUUUCCAAUGAUGAUGAUGAUGAUGUUAUUAUUAUUAUUUAUAUGCCACCCAUCUGUGUUGCCCCAGCUACUCUGGGCGGCUCUCAACAAAAUAUUAAAAACACAAUUAAAAAAGCAACCAUUAAAAACUUCCAUGUACAGGGCUGCCUUCAGAUGUCUUCUAAAAGUCAUAUAGUCAUUUAUCUCCUUGACCUCUGCUCAGAGGGCGUUCCACAGAGUGGUUCCCUGUAACUUCACUUCUCACAGUGGGAGAAGGCUAGAAGGCCCUUGGAGCUGGAAAUGAGGGGCGUGAAGAUGCUACUGCAGGACGAAGAUGCUAGAAAUGAGCAAAUUUUAGCUUCUUGCUUCUCCAGUCUUAAAUUCAGUUCUCCACAUUUCUGCAGCAAUUGCAUCAUAUUAUUAUUAUUAUUAUUAUUAUUAUUAUUAUUUUAAAAGUCACAAAAAUCCACCAGCAUCUUAGUGCAAAUAUGUCCUAAUAUUUAUUUAGUUAGUUUUGACUAGGAUAUUAGGAAAUUAACUGCCAGAUGCAGGAGAGGCUAUGAGUGUUUGUUUUGAACAUUCGGGUCACUGAUGAUGCCCAUCUUCCAAUUUCCUGAAUGCUAUUGGAACAAGCAUAGCCUGGUGCAACAGGCUUAUCCUUCCUUUUUGGAAAGUUCACCUGUAGCUGCAUAGAGGAAAUCCAUUCAUUUCAACCUUAAAGAAAAUUAAUGUUAGCUUAAAACCAAUGUACCUUGGCCCUUUGGCUGAAUCAAAAAAAGGCCAGAAUAUGAGUCCUGGAGAUAUUGUCUGUUGAAAGUGAAUGAGAUGACUCCUAAAGACCCCAUCCUAUUACAGUUCAGAUCCUGUAGAUUCUACAGUUCAGUAAUAGGCUUUGUGUGUGUGUAAAUUCUCUGUCUUCAAAUGGAUAAACCAAAUGUUGCUUGAAUCAUAAAAAUAAACCAGCAGAAUUUGUACUGGAUAUAUUAUUAGCAUCCACCACAUUGCUAGCAAACAACUUGUAAAGCAUAUGGUGAGAAAUGUCUUGUGCGGAAAACAUUUUCAAAAGGAUCAACUCAUCACAUGCCAGGUUUUUUUCCUGCCUUUAUUUUUGCCACCAGACCACCUUUGGUUUUAAAAUGGAAGAUUAGGUUAGUUAACAACGAAGAAGACACAGAAUAAAUGCACAUUUUACUAAGCAGAUCUGAUUUUAUGCAUUGUUGAAUAUAGGGCACAAAAAACUCAUGGGUGAAACCUACCAGAGGGCAAAGUCUGGCCCAUAUAGAUAGUGGGGUCUAGGUGUAUUCUAGGUGGGGGCCAUUUUAUCAUUAUUUUAUUUAUUAAUUAGACUCAUCAAAAUGUAAGGGAUCCUAGGGAUCAUCUAUCCCUACCCCCUGCAAUGCAGGAAUCUUUUGCCAAAUGUGGGGCUCAAAUCCAUGACCUUGAGAUUAAGAGUCCAAUACCCUACUGACUGAGCUAUCCUGUCCUUCAUCCAAAGAUCACAGGGUGGAUAUCCUGUUGGCCACAUGUGCCCCCUCCCCCAGGCCUCUCUACCCUCCCCUUGAGACUCUCCUUGGGGCACAUACACUUGCCUCAGGGCCACACCCUUCACUGGUCUUCCUCAAGUGUUUUUACUUGCCUGGAAGUUGUCCUUGAAUUGUGAUAAUGCUUCUUCCUUGCUCAGAUGGAGAGGUGUGUGGUAUGUAUGUGUGUGUUUGUGUGUGGAAACCUCUGGGUUUUGUGUAGUUGGAACAUAACCUACUAUAUGAAGGUGUCCCAGCCAUUGUGCCAUGCCCAGUUUCUUCUGGGCCUAUCAACAUUUUCCCUGGUCCUGCUAACUGGCCACUAGAAGGUUGUCAAUAAGGAAAUGCAGGCUUUAAGCUGGGAGUCAGUCUCACAAACCCAGUCAUAUUCCAUGCACCCUUUCAAAAACUGUGCUUGCGUGGAAUUUGCUGUCGGGCCCCCAACUGAAGAUCCUGAUAAAAUCUAUUUUUGUUUAAGCUUGAAAUUGUAUGUUCAAUGCCUUUAGAACUUUUGGAAGCCGGAUGAGGGACACAGUGGUGGCUGGUAUCCAUUGGACAGCGGGGAGACUAGCAGUAGGUGGAGCCAGAGCUAGUGAUAGAUGGAGCCAACUCAUUCUAGGUUUGUCCCCAUCCUUCUACCUGCUGACUUCUACAGGGGCAACACUGGCACUAACGGCAUGAGAGGUGAUGUUUUUGAGGGUUCCUCAGUUGUCGUGCUGCCUCCAGAGAUCCGACAAUAACCAUCUAUCCUCUGGUUCCAUCAGGUACUGAAGAUGUACCUCUUCACUCAGGCCUUGGGGUCUUCUUGGAGUUGCUGAUGAUUUAGGUUCCGAGACAGCUUCAUCAUUGUGACUCAACCCCACAUUGCAGGAGCAGGGGAGUUAAUAUUAUUAUUGUGGUCUUUUCUGCAGAAUUAAAGUCUUUCAGGUCAAGGAUGGGGAGCUCAGCUCAGUCCUGCCCCUUCCUCUGCUCUGCUCUGAAGCAGGAGCUUUGACACACUUUUGGCAGUGGGAAUGCUGCACCAGCAGAGAAAGAUCUCCCCUCAACUCCACCCCUCCAUCUGAUGCAACAAGGGUUUGGAUUGCUCUGUUUGUGUGACUGCAGCUAAUUAAAGAG
Molecule: non-coding RNA, 5416 nt
Organism: Podarcis lilfordi (Lilford's wall lizard)
Lineage: Eukaryota; Metazoa; Chordata; Lepidosauria; Squamata; Lacertidae
Source: the annotation of a GenBank genome assembly